This is an unclassified non-coding RNA of Ochotona princeps (American pika), 320 nucleotides long. Its record names the gene 7SK. It matches the Rfam family "7SK RNA". Rfam says of the family: 7SK was discovered as an abundant small nuclear RNA in the mid-70s but a possible function has only recently been suggested. NCBI's taxonomy places the organism in Eukaryota, Metazoa, Chordata, Mammalia, Lagomorpha, Ochotonidae. The record is from Ensembl.
GGGGGAGAGGGCUAUCUGACUUUAACACCCGUCACCCCAUUGAUCGCUAGGCUUGAUUCGGCUGAGCUGGCUGGGUAGCCAGUUGUCCCCCCUCCCCCCUCACGGCUCCUCGUCCCUACAUCGGGAAGCUGUGUGCUCAGUCGAAGAGGACGACCAUCCCUGCUAGAGGAGGACCGGUCUUCGGUCAAGGGUAUACCAAUAGCUGCGCUCCCCUGCUAGAACCUCCAAACAAGCUCUCAAGAACUAGGUUUUCAGCUUUGAGAACAUAUUUAUUAACAACAAGAGUAGAAGUGAGAGUUACGGUUUAUGUGCUUAGCUUU